RNAcentral lists this ribosomal RNA (603 nucleotides) under uncultured prasinophyte. RNAcentral's name for it is "SSU rRNA". It matches the Rfam family "Eukaryotic small subunit ribosomal RNA", at positions 659 to 1268 of the family's 1831-position model. Lineage: Eukaryota; Viridiplantae; Chlorophyta. The record is from RNAcentral.
CCGGUCCGCUUCGGUGUGCACUGGCGGCCCAUACCUUCUUGUCGGGGAUGCGCUCUGGUAUUGAUUUAUCGGACGCAGAGUCGGCGCAGUUACUUUGAAAAAAUUAGAGUGUUCAAAGCAGGCUUUCGCUUGAAUACAUUAGCAUGGAAUAACAUGAUAGGACUCCGGUUCCAUUGUGUUGGUCUUCGGGACUGGAGUAAUGAUUAAGAGGGACAGUUGGGGGCAUUCGUAUUUCAUUGUCAGAGGUGAAAUUCUUGGAUUUAUGAAAGACGAACUUCUGCGAAAGCAUUUGCCAAGGAUGUUUUCAUUAAUCAAGAACGAAAGUUGGGGGCUCGAAGAUGAUUAGAUACCAUCGUAGUCUCAACCAUAAACGAUGCCGACUAGGGAUUGGCGGAUGUUACUUGAUGACUUCGCCAGCACCUUGUGAGAAAUCAAAGUCUUUGGGUUCCGGGGGGAGUAUGGUCGCAAGGCUGAAACUUAAAGGAAUUGACGGAAGGGCACCACCAUGGCGUGGAGCCUGCGGCUUAAUUUGACUCAACACGGGGAAACUUACCAGGUCCAGACACAAUAAUGAUUGACAGAUUGAUAGCUCUUUCUUGAUUC